GAUCUGGUUCAGGAUGAACGCUAGCUACAGGCUUAACACAUGCAAGUCGAGGGGCAGCAUGAGCUUAGCUUGCUAAGCUUGAUGGCGACCGGCGCACGGGUGAGUAACGCGUAUCCAACCUUCCCCUUAGUAGGGCAUAGCCCGGUGAAAAUCGGAUUAAUACCCUAUGUUCUUCACAGCGGACAUCUAACGUGAAGCAAAGGUUCACCGCUAAGGGAUGGGGAUGCGUCUGAUUAGGUAGUCGGCGGGGUAACGGCCCACCGAGCCAUCGAUCAGUAGGGGUUCUGAGAGGAAGGUCCCCCACAUUGGAACUGAGACACGGUCCAAACUCCUACGGGAGGCAGCAGUGAGGAAUAUUGGUCAAUGGGCGCGAGCCUGAACCAGCCAAGUAGCGUGCAGGAUGACGGCCCUAUGGGUUGUAAACUGCUUUUAUGCGGGGAUAAAGUCACCCACGUGUGGGUGUUUGCAGGUACCGCAUGAAUAAGGACCGGCUAAUUCCGUGCCAGCCGCGGC
Molecule: ribosomal RNA, 513 nt
Filed under: uncultured bacterium
Lineage: Bacteria
Description: bacterial SSU rRNA
Rfam family: Bacterial small subunit ribosomal RNA
Source: RNAcentral